Molecule: long non-coding RNA, 256 nt
Organism: Coregonus clupeaformis (lake whitefish)
Lineage: Eukaryota; Metazoa; Chordata; Actinopteri; Salmoniformes; Salmonidae
Exons: 3
Source: RefSeq, a predicted model, not a curated record
CGACCCAAGGCUGGUGACUUUCUUCAGCAAAGAUGGCUGACAAAAAUACUAGGAUGGAAGCAAAUUUAAGGACUCCUGAAACAACCAGCAAACCAGGCUGUCGUCUUGUGAAACAGUGGAUGUAAAGAAUCUAGCUAGCUAAAGCAUUUACUGCAAAUUGAAUGAACAAUUUUACAUUACCCUUACCUGAACAGCACCCUCACCUGAGAAGUCAAAAUCAAAAGGAGAGAAACUGGGAAUUGAAUAACUGCUGUUG